RNAcentral lists this ribosomal RNA (564 nucleotides) under uncultured bacterium. RNAcentral's name for it is "bacterial SSU rRNA". It matches the Rfam family "Bacterial small subunit ribosomal RNA", at positions 280 to 837 of the family's 1533-position model. The record is from RNAcentral.
UCAGUAGCUGGUCUGAGAGGACGACCAGCCACACUGGGACUGAGACACGGCCCAGACUCUUACGGGAGGCAGCAGUGGGGAAUUUUGGACAAUGGGCGCAAGCCUGAUCCAGCUAUUCCGCGUGUGGGAUGACGGCCCUCGGGUUGUAAACCACUUUAGUAGAGAACGAAAAGGAGCUAUCGAAUAAAUAGCUCUGCUGACGGUACUCUAAGAAUAAGCACCGGCUAACUACGUGCCAGCAGCCGCGGUAAUACGUAGGGUGCGAGCGUUAAUCGGAAUUACUGGGCGUAAAGGGUGUGCAGGCGGCUGAGUAAGACAGAUGUGAAAUCCCCGGGCUUAACCUGGGAACCGCAUAUGUGACUGCUUGGCUAGAGUGCGUCAGAGGGAGGUGGAAUUCCACGUGUAGCAGUGAAAUGCGUAGAUAUGUGGAAGAACACCGAUGGCGAAGGCAGCCUCCUGGGACGCAACUGACGCUCAUACACGAAAGCGUGGGGAGCAAACAGGAUUAGAUACCCUGGUAGUCCACGCCCUAAACGAUGUCAACUAGUUGUUGGGGAUUAAAAU